This is a long non-coding RNA of Alligator sinensis (Chinese alligator), 306 nucleotides long. RefSeq lists it as uncharacterized. The record is from RefSeq and is a predicted model, not a curated record. Lineage: Eukaryota; Metazoa; Chordata; Crocodylia; Alligatoridae. The transcript has 3 exons.
GCAGUCUGCUGCUUGGUACCGAGGAAACAAUAUCUCCUGGUGGAGCUGCUGCUCCAGUAACACUUGGAGGUUGUUUGUUAUCUCGGAAUGUAGAGCCUGCACUGGAGCGUGUAAUUGCAACACCAUGUCUUCGGUUAGAAAGAACUCGGACACUAAAUUGUCCAUGUCAUCACCUGAAUUUGACCAUAAAAUAUAGUGCAGAGGGACUGAGAACACAGCCUGUGAGGAGGCAUACGGAGCCUGAAAGCCAAGGAAGAAGCCAGAUUUAGCAUUUUUGAACUAUAAACCAGUAAUUGGAAUUGGAAU